CCUACGGGUGGCAGCAGUGGGGGAUAUUGCACAAUGGGGGGAACCCUGAUGCAGCGACGCCGCGUGGGUGAAGGAGUGCUUCGGCUCGUAAAGCUCUAUCGGCAGGGAAGAAGCAAGACGGUACCUGACUAAGAAGCCCCGGCCAACUACGUGCCAGCAGCCGCGGUAAUACGUAGGGGGCGAGCGUUAAUCGGAUUCACUGGGUGUAAAGGGAGCGUAGGCGGGCAAGCAAGCCGGGGGUGAAAGGGCGGGGCGCAAACCCGGGACUGCCCUUGGAACUGGAUGGCUGGAGUGCGGGAGGGGCAGGCGGAAUUCCUGGUGUAGCGGUGAAAUGCGUAGAUAUCAGGAGGAACACCAGCGGCGAAGGCGGCCUGCUGGACCGCAACUGACGUUGAGGCGCGAAAGCGUGGGGAGCGAACAGGAUUAGAUACCCGGGUAGUC
This 441-nucleotide ribosomal RNA is filed under the name uncultured bacterium. RNAcentral describes it as "partial 16S ribosomal RNA". It matches the Rfam family "Bacterial small subunit ribosomal RNA", at positions 338 to 795 of the family's 1533-position model. The record is from RNAcentral.